AGCGCAUGUGCUGUGAGCUCGAUGAGUAGGGCGGGACACGUGAUAUCCUGUCUGAAUAUGGGGGGACCAUCCUCCAAGGCUAAAUACUCCUGACUGACCGAUAGUGAACCAGUACCGUGAGGGAAAGGCGAAAAGAACCCCGGCGAGGGGAGUGAAAAAGAACCUGAAACCGUGUACGUACAAGCAGUGGGAGCACCCUUCGGGGUGUGACUGCGUACCUUUUGUAUAAUGGGUCAGCGACUUAUAUUCUGUAGCAAGGUUAACCGAAUAGGGGAGCCGGAGGGAAACCGAGUCUUAACCGGGCGUUAAGUUGCAGGGUAUAGACCCGAAACCCGGUGAUCUAGCCAUGGGCAGGUUGAAGGUUGGGUAACACUAACUGGAGGACCGAACCGACUAAUGUUGAAAAAUUAGCGGAUGACCUGUGGCUGGGGGUGAAAGGCCAAUCAAACCGGGAGAUAGCUGGUUCUCCCCGAAAGCUAUUUAGGUAGCGCCUCGUGAAUUCAUCUCCGGGGGUAGAGCACUGUUUCGGCUAGGGGGCCAUCCCGGCUUACCAACCCGAUGCAAACUGCGAAUACCGGAGAAUGUUAUCACGGGAGACACACGGCGGGUGCUAACGUCCGUCGUGAAGAGGGAAACAACCCAGACCGCCAGCUAAGGUCCCAAAGUCAUGGUUAAGUGGGAAACGAUGUGGGAAGGCCCAGACAGCCAGGAUGUUGGCUUAGAAGCAGCCAUCAUUUAAAGAAAGCGUAAUAGCUCACUGGUCGAGUCGGCCUGCGCGGAAGAUGUAACGGGGCUAAACCAUGCACCGAAGCUGCGGCAGCGACGCUGAUGCGUUGUUGGGUAGGGGAGCGUUCUGUAAGCCUGCGAAGGUGGCCUGUGAGGGUUGCUGGAGGUAUCAGAAGUGCGAAUGCUGACAUAAGUAACGAUAAAGCGGGUGAAAAGCCCGCUCGCCGGAAGACCAAGGGUUCCUGUCCAACGUUAAUCGGGGCAGGGUGAGUCGACCCCUAAGGCGAGGCCGAAAGGCGUAGUCGAUGGGAAACGGGUUAAUAUUCCCGUACUUGGUGUUACUGCGAAGGGGGGACGGAGAAGGCUAUGUUGGCCGGGCGACGGUUGUCCCGGUUUAAGCGUGUAGGUGUGUGUUCCAGGUAAAUCCGGUUCACUUUAACACUGAGGCGUGACGACGAGGCACUACGGUGCUGAAGCAACAAAUGCCCUGCUUCCAGGAAAAGCCUCUAAGCAUCAGGUAACAUCAAAUCGUACCCCAAACCGACACAGGUGGUCAGGUAGAGAAUACCAAGGCGCUUGAGAGAACUCGGGUGAAGGAACUAGGCAAAAUGGUGCCGUAACUUCGGGAGAAGGCACGCUGACACGUAGGUGAAGUGAUUUACUCAUGGAGCUGAAGUCAGUCGAAGAUACCAGCUGGCUGCAACUGUUUAUUAAAAACACAGCACUGUGCAAACACGAAAGUGGACGUAUACGGUGUGACGCCUGCCCGGUGCCGGAAGGUUAAUUGAUGGGGUCAGCGCAAGCGAAGCUCCUGAUCGAAGCCCCGGUAAACGGCGGCCGUAACUAUAACGGUCCUAAGGUAGCGAAAUUCCUUGUCGGGUAAGUUCCGACCUGCACGAAUGGCGUAAUGAUGGCCAGGCUGUCUCCACCCGAGACUCAGUGAAAUUGAACUCGCUGUGAAGAUGCAGUGUACCCGCGGCAAGACGGAAAGACCCCGUGAACCUUUACUAUAGCUUGACACUGAACAUUGAGCCUUGAUGUGUAGGAUAGGUGGGAGGCUUUGAAGCGUGGACGCCAGUCUGCGUGGAGCCGACCUUGAAAUACCACCCUUUAAUGUUUGAUGUUCUAACGUGGACCCGUGAUCCGGGUUGCGGACAGUGUCUGGUGGGUAGUUUGACUGGGGCGGUCUCCUCCUAAAGAGUAACGGAGGAGCACGAAGGUUGGCUAAUCCUGGUCGGACAUCAGGAGGUUAGUGCAAUGGCAUAAGCCAGCUUGACUGCGAGCGUGACGGCGCGAGCAGGUGCGAAAGCAGGUCAUAGUGAUCCGGUGGUUCUGAAUGGAAGGGCCAUCGCUCAACGGAUAAAAGGUACUCCGGGGAUAACAGGCUGAUACCGCCCAAGAGUUCAUAUCGACGGCGGUGUUUGGCACCUCGAUGUCGGCUCAUCACAUCCUGGGGCUGAAGUAGGUCCCAAGGGUAUGGCUGUUCGCCAUUUAAAGUGGUACGCGAGCUGGGUUUAGAACGUCGUGAGACAGUUCGGUCCCUAUCUGCCGUGGGCGCUGGAGAACUGAGGGGGGCUGCUCCUAGUACGAGAGGACCGGAGUGGACGCAUCACUGGUGUUCGGGUUGUCAUGCCAAUGGCACUGCCCGGUAGCUAAAUGCGGAAGAGAUAAGUGCUGAAAGCAUCUAAGCACGAAACUUGCCCCGAG
This 2433-nucleotide ribosomal RNA is filed under the name Salmonella enterica. RNAcentral describes it as "partial 23S ribosomal RNA". It matches the Rfam family "Bacterial large subunit ribosomal RNA", at positions 387 to 2803 of the family's 2925-position model. Lineage: Bacteria; Pseudomonadati; Pseudomonadota; Gammaproteobacteria; Enterobacterales; Enterobacteriaceae. The record is from RNAcentral.